Molecule: ribosomal RNA, 253 nt
Filed under: uncultured bacterium
Lineage: Bacteria
Description: partial 16S ribosomal RNA
Rfam family: Bacterial small subunit ribosomal RNA
Source: RNAcentral
UACGUAGGGGGCGAGCGUUGUCCGAAUUUACUGGGCGUAAAGCGCGCGUAGGCGGACCUUUAAGUCGGUGGUGAAAUUCCGAGGCUCAACCUCGGAACUGCCUCCGAAACUGGGGGUCUUGAGGUAUGGAGAGGGAAGUGGAAUUCCUGGUGUAGCGGUGAAAUGCGUAGAUAUCAGGAGGAACACCCGUGGCGAAGGCGGCUUCCUGGCCAUAAUCUGACGCUGAGGUGCGAAAGCUAGGGGAGCGAACGGG